RNAcentral lists this ribosomal RNA (439 nucleotides) under uncultured bacterium. Its description in RNAcentral is "bacterial SSU rRNA". It matches the Rfam family "Bacterial small subunit ribosomal RNA", at positions 959 to 1397 of the family's 1533-position model. The record is from RNAcentral.
ACGCGUGGAACCUUACCAGGUCUUGACAUCCCACUGACCGCUAUGGAGACAUAGCUUUCCCUUCGGGGACAGUGGUGACAGGUGGUGCAUGGUUGUCGUCAGCUCGUGUCGUGAGAUGUUGGGUUAAGUCCCGCAACGAGCGCAACCCUUGUUCUUAGUUGCCAUCAUUUAGUUGGGCACUCUAAGGAGACUGCCGGUGACAAACCGGAGGAAGGUGGGGAUGACGUCAAAUCAUCAUGCCCCUUAUGACCUGGGCUACACACGUGCUACAAUGGACGGUACAAACGGUUGCCAACCCGCGAGGGGGAGCUAAUCCGAUAAAACCGUUCUCAGUUCGGAUUGUAGGCUGCAACUCGCCUACAUGAAGCCGGAAUCGCUAGUAAUCGCGGAUCAGCAUGCCGCGGUGAAUACGUUCCCGGGCCUUGCACACACUGCCCGU